This 74-nucleotide transfer RNA is filed under the name Syntrichia caninervis. RNAcentral's name for it is "tRNA-Met (CAT) (tRNA-Met-CAT-8-1)". It matches the Rfam family "tRNA". From Rfam's summary of the family: Transfer RNA (tRNA) molecules are approximately 80 nucleotides in length. Their secondary structure includes four short double-helical elements and three loops (D, anti-codon, and T loops). The record is from RNAcentral. RNAcentral also lists the same sequence under 19 other names. Lineage: Eukaryota; Viridiplantae; Streptophyta; Bryopsida; Pottiales; Pottiaceae.
CGCGGGGUGGAGCAGCCCGGUAGCUCGCGAGGCUCAUAACCUCGAGGUCGCAGGUUCGAAUCCUGUCCCCGCAA